CUACAGGGAUACAUCUGCAAAGAACGCCACAUCGUGUGGCAAAGCAGAUGUGACAAACUUCGUGUUUG
This 68-nucleotide small RNA is filed under the name Caryophanon tenue. RNAcentral's name for it is "Bacillaceae-1 RNA". It matches the Rfam family "Bacillaceae-1 RNA". Lineage: Bacteria; Bacillati; Bacillota; Bacilli; Caryophanales; Caryophanaceae. The record is from Rfam by way of RNAcentral.